UACAGAGGUGGCAAGCGUUGUUCGGAAUUACUGGGCGUAAAGGGCGAGUAGGUGGCCAUCUAAGUCAGACGUGAAAUCCCCCGGCUUAACCUGGGAACUGCGUCUGAUACUGGACGGCUUGAGUAUGGGAGAGGAACGUAGAAUUCCAGGUGUAGCGGUGAAAUGCGUAGAUAUUCGGAAGAACACCAGUGGCGAAGGCGGCUCACUGGACUGGUAUUGACGCUGAGGUGCGAAAGCGUGGGGAGCAAACAGG
This 253-nucleotide ribosomal RNA is filed under the name uncultured bacterium. RNAcentral's name for it is "partial 16S ribosomal RNA". It matches the Rfam family "Bacterial small subunit ribosomal RNA", at positions 524 to 776 of the family's 1533-position model. The record is from RNAcentral.